RNAcentral lists this ribosomal RNA (84 nucleotides) under Annona squamosa (sweetsop). RNAcentral describes it as "partial 5.8S ribosomal RNA". It matches the Rfam family "5.8S ribosomal RNA", at positions 73 to 154 of the family's 154-position model. Rfam says of the family: 5.8S ribosomal RNA (5.8S rRNA) is a component of the large subunit of the eukaryotic ribosome. It is transcribed by RNA polymerase I as part of the 45S precursor that also contains 18S and 28S rRNA. The record is from RNAcentral. Lineage: Eukaryota; Viridiplantae; Streptophyta; Magnoliopsida; Magnoliales; Annonaceae.
UGCAGAAUCCCGUGAACCAUCGAGUCUUUGAACGCAAGUUGCGCCCGAAGCCAUUAGGCCGAGGGCACGUCUGCCUGGGCGUCU